CGACACGUCGGGAUUGGCGGCUGCAGCCAGGGGUCCUCCGACGCUGGGCUUCCGUGAGCGGCGCUCUGCCAGAUCUCUGGACCGGAUUCGUCCCAUUCUCGUCCUCAUGGUGGACAAGAAACUGGUGGUGGUUUUCGGAGGCACAGGUGCCCAGGGUGGCUCCGUGGCCCGCACACUCCUGGAAGAUGGGACAUUCAAGGUUCGAGUGGUGACCCGAAACCCUAGGAAGAAGGCAGCAAAGGAGCUGAGGCUGCAAGGUGCAGAAGUAGUGCAGGGAGACCAAGAUGACCAGGUCAUCAUGGAGCUGGCCCUGAAUGGGGCUUACGCCACCUUCAUCGUGACCAAUUACUGGGAGAGCUGCAGCCAGGAGCAGGAGGUCAAGCAGGUGUUCCUGGGCUUGUGGCCACAAAGCUCCAAUCUCCGCUUCCCUCUUCGCAUGGCCUUCUCCAGGUGUUGUCUCUUCUCCCGUCUCUUAUAAGUACCCUGGUUACUGGAUUUAGCGCCUAUCUAGUUAGUGCAGGAUGUUCCCAUCUCAAGAUCCUUCACGUAAUUACAUCUGCCA
This 562-nucleotide unclassified non-coding RNA is filed under the name Homo sapiens (human). Its description in RNAcentral is "NmrA like redox sensor 1 (ENSG00000274684.4)". The record is from RNAcentral. Lineage: Eukaryota; Metazoa; Chordata; Mammalia; Primates; Hominidae.